This 209-nucleotide long non-coding RNA is filed under the name Lathyrus oleraceus (garden pea). RNAcentral describes it as "Pisum sativum (pea) long non-coding RNA (PSAT_LNC006129)". The record is from RNAcentral. Lineage: Eukaryota; Viridiplantae; Streptophyta; Magnoliopsida; Fabales; Fabaceae.
AACCCGUGUGACAUCGAAAGUCUGAUAACUAGAAUUUUAGUUAACAUCAACAAAACCAUAAAUGUUAGGGAACAAAGCCAACCCAUAAAUGAGAAACACAAAGAUAGCUUCAAAAGUAUCCACACUACUGGCUUGGGUAAAGACAGUAGAUUCCUUGAUGAGGAAUUCAGAAGUCAACCCAAACAUUCCUCCUUUCUUCACCCAAUGAG